AUCAAGCCGACGAGUGCUAAAUAGGACGAAACGCACGUCCUAGAU
Molecule: non-coding RNA, 45 nt
Filed under: Schistosoma margrebowiei
Lineage: Eukaryota; Metazoa; Platyhelminthes; Trematoda; Strigeidida; Schistosomatidae
Source: RNAcentral